ACUGAGUCUCAAGGAAAGGUCGUCUUGGAGUUUCUGAAGCAAUCUGAUUCACUGAAGCAAAAACAAGCUCUCGGUUAUAACAGAGGAUGUUCCUUUCCCAUGGAAGGAGAGAAGAACUGCAUUCAAGAAAAAACCUUCAAGACAGCUGAAGCCACACAAAAAAAAUGCCAUUGUAUCAUCUGAGAGGACAGAGAAAAGGAGCUUCUUUCAGCGUGAUGGAGUUCUUUGACUGAGAAUGUUUCACUGAUCUUGAAAUAUGGAGUAUUUUGUCAUCACUAAGACUUAUGCAUCUCUCCUAAAACAGUCAACAGCCAAGCUCCUGCUCACAAAACUGAAAUGUUCAA
RNAcentral lists this long non-coding RNA (344 nucleotides) under Calidris pugnax (ruff). RNAcentral's name for it is "lncRNA (ENSCPUG00000010845.1)". The record is from RNAcentral. Lineage: Eukaryota; Metazoa; Chordata; Aves; Charadriiformes; Scolopacidae.